This is a non-coding RNA of Caenorhabditis elegans, 21 nucleotides long. The record is from Ensembl. NCBI's taxonomy places the organism in Eukaryota, Metazoa, Nematoda, Chromadorea, Rhabditida, Rhabditidae.
UAGAAUCUAGAGUUGAGCAAA